AACGAACGCUGGCGGCAUGCCUAACACAUGCAAGUCGAACGAGACCUUCGGGUCUAGUGGCGCACGGGUGCGUAACGCGUGGGAACCUGCCCUUAGGUUCGGAAUAACUCCCCGAAAGGGGUGCUAAUACCGGAUAAUGUCUUCGGACCAAAGAUUUAUCGCCUUUGGAUGGGCCCGCGUUGGAUUAGCUAGUUGGUAGGGUAAAAGCCUACCAAGGCGACGAUCCAUAGCUGGUCUGAGAGGAUGAUCAGCCACACUGGGACUGAGACACGGCCCAGACGCCGAGGGGAGGCGGGAUGAGGGCAGAGGGGAGAUUGGCAGGAAUCCUGAUCAAGCAGUCGUGCGUGAGUGACCAUGUCAUUAGUGUGGUAAAGCUCUUUUCACCGUAAUAAUAAUAACAGCACGGGGAUAAUACGCUCCGACUACCCCCGUGCCAGCGGCCGCGGUAAAGGAAGGGCACCCGUCUGAUC
Molecule: ribosomal RNA, 470 nt
Filed under: uncultured bacterium
Lineage: Bacteria
Description: partial 16S ribosomal RNA
Rfam family: Bacterial small subunit ribosomal RNA
Source: RNAcentral